Molecule: non-coding RNA, 4709 nt
Filed under: Pan troglodytes (chimpanzee)
Lineage: Eukaryota; Metazoa; Chordata; Mammalia; Primates; Hominidae
Source: RNAcentral
AAACUCCCUGCUAGAGGGACUAGGAGAUUUGGGGCUGCGGCCGUUUCCUUCGGAGCACCCACGGGACUGUGUGCUGGGGUCCCUCCACCGGCUGUGUCCUUUAUUCUUCUUUCUCACCCAACGAUUUACCUGAACGGUUAUAAAGUGCACGUUAUUUCCCUAAGGUCCUUCUUACUGAUGUGUUGCUCUUCUUCAUGGCUCGUGAAAACUAUUAGAGUCAUCCAAGGUUUGGAGACAGAAAGGAGCACCCCCAAGUGAGGCAGAGCAGUCUCAGAAACAUAGGAAAAUGGUGGGAAGAGAGAUCAGCAACGUUAACUGGGUGUCAAGAAAACAUACCGAGAUUGAAGCCAUCCACUUCUGCAGGAACACCAAAAAGAAAGCUUACAAUCUGAAGGUGUCCGUUCCUACACUGGUCAGACCACUGUCCUUGGGGCAGCUGGGGUCUUUGGGACCCUCCACCGGGCUCGCCGGUCCGUCGGACUUUUGGCUGAGAUCCGUGUCAGACUCCUCCGAAUAGUCGUCUGUUGGCAUCGAGGGCUGAACCCCUGAGGUGCUGCAUGAACUUGAGGUAACCGUUGAAGAUGAGGAGAGAGGAGGAAAAGAAGGGGGCUUCGCUGCCGAAGCCCGGGAGACCACUUGCGGCCAAGACUUCCUGGAGGCGUGGGGGGAAGCGGAGGAGGGGGCGGCGGCCGACGGGGGAGGGGGGCUGUCGUUUGAGUGAGCGGCAGACUGCGAGGUAGAUGCGGUGCUAGGAUCGGGGAAGCAGGCAGAGUGAGGUAAUAAACUAGGGUGCUCUUUGGCGUUUCUUGCUGCUCUCGUGAUUGUUCUGUGUUUGUGCAAGGCCGACUCGAGAUGUUGACUCAGAGCUUCCUCCCCACAGAGCGCGCUCUCGCACGCCAGGCAGUGGUACGAGCCGCCGCCGCCGCCGCCACUGCCGCCGCCGCCACUGCCGCCGCCGCCGCCGCCGCCGGUGGGGACGUGAAGCACCAUCUCUUGCAGGUUCACCACAGACUGGCCGAAGAAGCAGAGGGACUUCAGGUGGCUCCUCGCUGCCUCCUCGUCGCCGAAGCCCGCCUGGCACUUGCGGCAGACCAACUUGUACUGCACCUUUGGAACAAUGAAGGGGUCGUAGAGGGAGUCCGCACUUUUGCUUUCUGCUUCUGGCUCUUCAGGGAGUUUCGGCAGGAGGGGGGACACCUCACGGGGAGUGUUUUUCUGUUCUUCUGGUUUGGGGGAUUCUUUGGCAGGGUCUUUGUCUGGGGAAGCAGCCCCCGGGGGGACUGGGGUUUGGCUUGCUUUGGGCUGCUGCUGCUGUAGUUGCCGCUGCUGCUGCUGCUGAAUUGCCUCCUGCAGACUCUGCUGGUAUUGCUGGUACUGCUGCAGUAGGGAGCCUGGGGACAGCCCCAUCAGGGCCUGCGACAGCGCAGGGCUGUAUGGGAACAGGCCUUCCAUGCCAUACAUAGGCUGCAGGUACCCGCUCUGCAGGGCGCCAGGGAUCUGGGGAGCAUAAUAAGGAGAAAAGCCUGGUACAAAGUAAGGAAGGAACUGGCUUGUGAGCAAUGCUGUGGGGUCCGAAGUCAACGCGGCCUGCAGGGCCUGCAGCUGUGCAGGGUCUACCGCAUACUCCAUGGUGGGCAGCGGGGCUGAGAUCGUGGCUGCAGUUGCCGUGGGGGCCUCUCCUUUCUCCUUCUUGGGGACAGGCAGGGGUUCCCCUUUCCCUUUGUGUGCCUUUUCCUUCUCCUUUACUUUCUCACUGUCUUUGUCCUUGCGUUGCUGCUGCUGUUGCAGUGGGAGCUGUGGUGUGGGUGGCGGCUGGGCUGCUGGCGGCGGGGGAGGCUGCUGCACCUGUGGCUGCUGCUGCUGCUGCUGCUGGGGGGGUUGCUGAGGGCCCAUGGCCAUGGUGGCUUGUGCUGGGGUUGGGGAGCUCAGCGACGCUGAGGACGGUUUAUUUGGUAAUCCAGAAGUGGGGAGGCCAGGGGAAGGAACAGUUGUGCUGGGCAGACCCAUCAAGUUCGGCUUAGGAGACGUUAAAGCUGAAAGGAAUGGAGACAGAAAUCACCGGUCAGUCUGGGCAGGGGUAGGGCUGAAGCUCAAGACGUUUUACCAGUGUCACUGGCACACAGUUUGAGAUGUCAAGGCUUGAAGGAUCCUCUCAAAACGAACAUUUCCAACAGAAGUAUCCCACCAGGCUCAGAGCUGGACAACCUUGUAUUCUAAUGAGGACUCAGUCCUAGGUCAGCUCCCAUAUUUCCCCUUUCAGCCAAACAACUUCCAGAAGUAUCCCACCAGGCUCAGGGCUGGACAACCUUGUAUUCUAAUGAAGAUUCAGUCCUGGGUUAGCUCCCAUACUUCCCCUUCCAGCCAAACAACUUCCAACACCUUCCUGCCCAAUGUGCCACACCCGCUAGUUCACAUUUUCUUUGCCAAGUACUCCCAGCUACCAUUCACUCUGCCCAACUGCAAUUAGUCUAGAGGCCCCAAAGCUAGCUGUUUCUAGCUGGGGCCCAUUUGCACCAAAGGCCUUCAUCACAAAAAUAGUAUGGCCACGAGGUCCCCAGAGAAGUUAUCUGGAGGAGAGCGGCAACAGGAGAAGAGAGAACAAAGGCAAGAAAGCUAGCACGGCCACAUGAACAAAAACAAAACAGGCUCUACAUGUGUUCCUCCUCUCUGACCUCUGUUGCUGCAGUUGACUGGAUGCUUUCGGAGGGUAGAGAGAAGAAGAUGAAUAGGAAAGUGUGGAGGAAGGGCCUGGGAAGAAAUAAGAACAAUCCAUUCAGGGAAAAUUGCUUCCAUGCCUUGGUCCAGCUGACCUGCUUCAACAAGUCUACUCAACAGUAUAACCGCCUAGGAAUAGGAAUCUGGAAUCCGCUGGAGAAACGACCAUCUUCUUUUCCUGCCCCUGUUUGAAUGAUACACAGGAGGGACAGUGGGACUGUAGAUGGUUGAGAAACAACCGCAGGAAAAGGAGAAAAGCCAUGUCAGAAGUGGAAUAGCCCAAGAUACUGACACCAAUUCCCAAGACAUCACAACCUACCCGAAGCACCACUGCCUAUGGAUAGCAAAGGUCUGACCAUAUCACCAGGCCCUCAUGGACUAGAAUCCCAUCCUUGAUCAUACCCCUAAUCUACCACCACUCCCUGCAAUGCCUUCACCAACCCGAGAGCCUAAUACCCUCCCUGACCCAUAGCUAUCUCCUGGUUUGAGUCACCAGGUCCAAGGUUAUGCAAGAGGGUGUUGCUACGGAUGGUACUCCAAGCUUCAGGUGUGUUGAGACUAGCAAGAUAGUAGGUAAGGACAGCAUGGGGGUGGGGUGCAGUGUGUGCUGGAUGAUGAAAAGCUGAGAAAACAAAGAGGAGGAUCCCACAGGCAACAGCUCUCAGAACACCUCUAUAUUCACCAUAUCCAAGAAACUUGAUGGUAUAUACAUCUCUUCAGAGGACACCAAAAUGCAAAAUCAAAAUCUUACUUCAUCUGGACCUCACCUGCUGGAAAGCUGGGGAAGGAGUUCCAUAACGUGACACUGAGGAAAAAAAAGCAAGAAAAAGCACUCUGAAGCCCAGACUUGGGGGAAGACUGCAGAUUUCUGGCUAUCAUGGUAGUGUUCACCAUCAAAACCCUCAGAUUUCAGACGAAAAGAACAAGACUGCUUCAGAUUGCCAAUCCCAGACAAACAGCUGUUAAUACUGGAUAGCCAAGGAGAAAGGUUCCUUCAGCAUCUCAUCAUGCAGUGUCCUCAGUGCACAUAAGACACCAGAGAAGAUAUGUGUGACUCUACUCAGAAAAGCUUAGUAAAGACUUGUUGGUUAAACUGGCACAAACAAGACAGAGUAGAUUAUGAGUUCUAAACCUGGGACAUGGCUCUGUCUCCACUAGGCAAUGGGUCUGCUCUCAGUGGGGCAAGGAAGGAAUAUUUAGAGAUUUCCCCAUCCCCAUGGCUCCAGACUUCUAGGAGAAAGAUUCAGGUCAAAAAGCCUUAAACUGUGUGUCUUCAACUGAUGGUCUACAUAAGAGGUUCAAAUUUUAAGAAACGUUUACGAAUCUCUACUAUUUACCAAGCCUUGCACUAGCCAUGCUAGACACAGUAGCUCAACACACUCACAACUCUGUGACAUCCUUUUUCUGAUCUGUAAGAUCAGAAUCAGGCAAGGUACUUCAUCCCCCCUAGACUUACUCCUACAACUCUGGAGUCACACUGACCCUGUGGGAUUAUGGUCACACACAUCAGACGUGUGACCCUGGGACUUUCGGUUGAACUCUUGGAACUUCAGCUUUCCAUAACAGAUGGUUAUGAGGAUUAAAUGAAAGACCACAUUGAUAGAAAAAGCUUAGCAUUGGGCCUGACAUAUAAUAGAUGUUUAAUAAACACAAGUUUGUUCCUUCCCUCCCAUUCCAGAUCCAGUGUUUUUGAGAACUAUGUUACGGUCAGGUGAUGAUAACUGGGGCAUGUCUGCUGCCCUGAAUAAAUAAGAGCUUAUCUUUCUAUCUCGAGUCCACUCUAAGUGGUCAGAACUUGAGUAGCACUAAACAUAUACCUGUUGACUGACUGGCUCAUAUUGGGUGUUGUGGAAGGAGCACAUAGCACCUGGGAGCCCAGAGGCCUGGAUGGGAGCUCUGGCUCCUACCCUAGCUUGUUGAAUGGUCUUGACCUCUCUGGCCCUCAGAUUUCUCAUCUGUAAAACAAGCGGAAUAAAUCAUACAUUCUGAUUCUA